Molecule: long non-coding RNA, 6342 nt
Filed under: Sus scrofa (pig)
Lineage: Eukaryota; Metazoa; Chordata; Mammalia; Artiodactyla; Suidae
Description: lncRNA (ENSSSCG00055010116.1)
Source: RNAcentral
UUUUUUUUUUUUUUUUUUUUUGGUUGUUGUUGGUCUCAGCUGUGGGUAUUCAAGAUAUGGAUGCAUUUGUUGGCUUUGAAGCAGAUAGAUGGCCCUUGAAGGUAAUUGGACUUUUUCCUGCCAGCAUGUCUCUCAACUUUUCCGAAGGGAGGGCAGGGAACAAUAAGGCAGUUACUGGGGCUAGUGGCCUUGUACGCGACAUUUCUGCUUUUUGAGUUUAAUUUUACUCUGCCUAGGAGCACACAAGAGCAGCUUUCUUUUUUAGGGCUGCACCCACGGCAUAUGGAAGUUCCCAGGCUAGUGGUGGAAUGGGAGCUGUAGCUGCCAGCCUACGCCACAGCCACAGCAAUGCAGGAUCCUUAACCCAGGGAUCCAACCUGCAUCCUCGUGGACACUAGUCAGGUUCAUUACCACUGAGCCAUGAUGGGAACUCCAAGAGCAGCCUUUCAAAAAAAAAAAAACCCAAAAAACAACGCCCCCUCCUCCCCAAAUCCAGGGGAGUUUACCUAUUUUAAUUUUUGUACUAGUUUACCAGGGAGGUCCUGGUACUAGACUAGGAACUUUUAGCUUAUCGUGAACAGGGAAAAGGAAAGAAUCCCUGCUGAAUUCAGGGGCCAUUUGGUUGCAAGAUGCAGAAACUGACUGGCACCAGUUUAAGCAAGUGGAAUCUAAGACCUGAAAGUACAGCUGAGCUAAUGAGGGCUUGGAAUUGGAAGCUAGGAGGUCUUCCGGAAGCAAGAUGCCCGUUCUUUUCAUCGUUCUCUCAUGCCCGCUCUUGACUGCUCUUUCUCUCCAUAGUGUAUUUCAUUGCCCCUCUUCUAGGAUAUCUGCUUCAUCCUCUUCCCCUUCCUGUGGUCGGGUUUUCUUGGCUUGCUCGUGCAUCCACACGAUCCCCAAAUUUCCAGCCUUGAGUGUCUCCAUUUCCUCUGGACUGCCUCUCCGCUCCCAGUGACUACUGCUAAUUACUGCAGUUUUGCUCUCUGUUUACUUGAGAGAGAGGAGCCCUAAUUGGCUCAGUUUGGGUCAGACGUCCAGCUCAUGCCAAGUCAGGUUUGAUGGGUGUGGUGGCACCAGGACCACUAAAUCUAUCACUUACCUUUGUAGACUCUAUGAGGGUAGCAUUGCCGAAGAAGAGCAUGUUCGCUGGGCAUUUAGGCACCCAUCCUAAUUGCGAUAUAGUAGGAUCCGGUAUUUCUCUCUCUCUCACACACACACGAGGAAAUGGUUUAAUGACAAGCAAAUGGUAUCACAUGUGAAAUAUGGCUGAUACAGAACACCUGAGUUCAGCGGUCCUUAAGCACUAGAGGACAUAACCCACCCUUGGAGAGCCUGUUAAAGAUGCCGAUGCCGGGGCUUCCUUCAGGGCCCCCGACUGAGUGGUGUGGCAACAGGAACCAGUACUUUUCAAUAAGCCCCUCAGGUGAGUCCACUGAAAGUGGUCCCCAUACCUCAUCUUGAGAAAGCCUUGGUUUCUCAGCUUAUUGUGCGCGUGUAUUUGGGUGUGACAAAGUGACAGGAGUGAAGGAUUUCUGGAACACUUCGUUUCGGUGGGGAACAAGGACCUCUGACUCCCUCGUAAUGACGGGAACAGGUUAGGCGGCGAGAAUGAACUGCAUCUUACAUCUAAGCUUCCACUGCGAUCUGGUCACGUGGGUGUAUAAACAGUUCGGGAACCUAUUCAGGGAAACCCCAAGUGCUUUCAUUUUAGUAGAUGUAGUUCCUGUCUGUAAAAGAAAAGGUAAGUUAAUUAUGAAAUAACAUGGUUGUAUUAAUAAUGUCGUUCCAGUCAGCGCGACGGUGAAACAUGCCAGAGUUGAUUAUGUUAGUUCGCCUGGGAGGGUUGACACUAAACUGUCAGGAGUGACAUUGAGAGAAGUCUCAGUGCCAUUAUUCCUACCUCACAGGAGCAUCAUCAGAAAGGACAAUUUAAUUUCUUUCAUCCUGGUUUCUAGGGUUUCAUACCUUCCCGAAAAUGCUAAUUUCGAAGAGCGCGGAUUGACUUUUUCAUCCCCAAGUUAAAAAUACACUCCACGUUUGCUGGCUUGCUGCUUCAUGUGUAUUUAAGAAUGGUUUCUGCUUUGCUGUUGGGCCAAACACCUACCUGACAACACCCAGGGUUUGGCAUGCUUUAUUGGAUGGAAAAAACAAAGCAGUGGAGGAAAAACGAAAUUAAAAAGAAAUUAAGAUGUGAGCUGUAUACAGCCAAGUACAUCAUCUUCUUUCCACAAGAAGCACAGAGGGUGGUUUUUCCAGGCGCACACAGGCGUGUGGCACCUGUGUUCAUUUAAAUGAUUACACAUUCAACAAAAUUUGAAUGUGUGAUGUGCAAUCAUUUGAAUCGCUCAUUAUACAUUAAAAUAAAUUGACACAAACACAACUCGUUCUCUGCUGCUUUUGAGAAAUGAAGUAAAUUAAAUGAAAGAACUGAAAUGAAGGUGCUGCCAGGCUGAAGAUCCCACAUACAAUAGAGUCAGAAAAUCCAACAUUCUGUCUUUGACCAUGAUCUUAUAACUUUCAGUGCUGGUGUGCAGUUAGGAAAGCAGAAAAAAGCAGGGGAGGGUCUGCCCCCCUGCCCAGGACCAUCCUGCCUGGGGCUCCCAGACCAUUUACUCCUCACUGGGCUUUGGGCACUAGCCCAGAGGACCAUGUAGCACAAAGGAAAACAGUAGGGAAAACAUUAAGGAAUAAGGCAAGUGGAAAGAGCAUUGUCCUCAGGGGAAGUCCAGGUGUUUUUCCCAGCUCUUCUGCUAUAACUGCCUAUAGUUGCUAUGUCUUCUUUUUUUUUUUUUAAUUGGUUAAUGAUUUCAGCAACCUACUAGAAUGGGGCUUCUGACUGCAUCCAUCCCCUGCAACUGUUUCAAGGCUCUUCAUCUUGCCAAAUCUAAAUGUCCCUUCUUUCUGGCCUUUCUCGACCUGUCAGCUUGAAAAGGAUGACCCCUGCCUCCUACCUGAAACAUCUCUUGCCUUCCACAACGACACUAGUUUUCCUCCUUUCUCAGGACAGUUCCUUCCGAAUCGCUUCCUCCUCCUUCCCUAAUCAAUGUUGGGAGGAUUGACAAGUGCCAGAGCUGCGUGUGGUCUUCUUUUCUCUCUCUAGGAGAGCAUAUCCAGUCUUACACAGGCAUGCAGAUGAAUCCAGACUAAGUGGAAAGGCAUCCUGAACUCUGCAUUCAUAUAUCCAAUGCUUACCUGACAGCCAGUCUUGGAGGUCUUCUUAAGAUCUGAAACUUAAAACCUGGUCAAAAAUAGAACUCUGAAUUUUGUACUGACUUUUUUUUUUUUUUUUUUUUUUUUNGCCUAUGCCCCAGCCAUAGCAACGUGGGAUCCAAGCCACAUCUGCAAACUAUGCUGCAGCGUGUGGCAACAUUGGAUCCUUAACCCACUGAGCGAGGCAGGGGAUCAAACCCACAUCCUCAUGGAUACUAGUGGGGUUCUUAACCUGCUGAGCCACAAAUGGACUCCUAUACUCAUCUCUUUUUUUCAUCUACCUAGUUGCUCAGCCAAAAAUAAAAAAGUUAUUUUAAACUCCUUUUUCUCCCUCGCUUCAUCCCACCUCCAAUUCAUGAGCAAGUCCAAACUUGCUACAUCAAAAUGUUUCACAAAGCCCUCAGUCACCAUUGCCCUUCUUCCUGACAACUAUGGUUAGCUGUCUCACAGGUUUCUCUCCUUCUAGUAGUAGCCAGAAUAUUCUUUUCCACCAAAUUUUCUCUGUCUUUUCUGAUAGCACCCUUCUCAAGCCACCAUCGUGUUUUUCCUCACAGCUCUGCCUUUGAAUUGAUCUCCUAACUGUGACCAGAAUACAAAUACGUUUGACAUUUCCUACAGCAACUCCCCAUUGCAUUUAGAAUAAAAUUUGAAUUUUACCCUAUCAUACAAAGCCUUGAAUGAUCUUCGACUGAAGUCUAGUGACCACACUUUCUACAAUACUUAAUUUCACAGAAUGUUCUUUUAAAAACUUAAAUCAGAUUUUGUCAUUCCCCAGAUUAAGAACCUUCAAAGUCUAGUAAUCCUUGCCCAUUGUUAUAUCUGUAAAGAAUAUUUUUGGCUCCAAGUAAUGGAAAAACUGAUUAAUGGUGCCUUAAAAAAGGAUUAAAUUUUCUCACAGAGCCAGCAAUCCUGAGUAGGCGGUCGGUGCUAUUGAUAUAGCUGUUUAAUGAUUCUGUCAAGUACUCAAGAGUCUCUUUUUUUUUUCUCUUCCAUCUUUCAUAGGUUAACACUUGACCUUAUGCCUAUUGCCUCAUGGACCCAAGAUGGCUCUUAUAGCUCCAGGCUAGGGGUCUAAUUGGAGCUGUAGCCACCGGCCUAUGCUAGAGCCACGUCUGCAACCUACACCACAGCUCACGGCAACACCGGAUCCUUAACCCACUGAGCAAGGCCAGGGAUUGAACCUGCAUCCUCAUGGGUCCUAGUCGAAUUCGUUAACCACUGUGCCACGACGGUAACUCCUCACCAUAACUAUUGGUGUGUGUGUGUGUGUGUGUGUGUGUGUUGAAGUUUGUAUUAGUUUGCUAAGAUUGCUAUAACAAAGCAUCACAGACUGAGUGUCUCAGUAUCUUAGUUCGGGCUGCUCUAACAAAAAAUAGCAUAGACUGGGUAGCUCACAUAACAGAAGUGUGUUUCUCAUACCGAAGGCUGGGAGGUCCAAGAUCAAAGCGACUGCCUAUUCAAUUACUGGUAAGAACCUCCUGCCUGGUUUGCAGAUGACACUUUCUUGCUGUGCCCUCACAUGGCAGGGACAGAAAAAGGAAGAAAACUCUCUUGUGUCUUCCUGUAAAGAUACUAAUUCCAUGGGGGGGGAGGGGGGCUCUACUUCCAUGACCUUCUUACCUCCAAAAGCCAUCACACUGGAGACUAAGGUUUCAACAUAUGAAUUUGGACGAACAUUCAGUCCACAGCACUUAAACAAUAGAAAUUGAUUGUCUUAUAGUUCUGGAGACUAGAAGUCUGAGAUUAAGGUGUUAGCAGAGUUGCUACCUUCUGAGAACUGUAAAGGAAGGAGCUGUUCCAAGCCUUUCUCCUUGACUUGUAGAUGGCUGCCUUCUCCCUGGAGCUUCAAAUCAUGUUCUCUUUGUAAAUGUCUAUAUCCAUAAGUUCUUGUUCUUUUUUUUCUGGCCACCCUGCAGCAUGCAGAAGUUCCCAGGCCAGGGAUCAGUCCUGAGCCACAGCAAUAACCAGAGUCCCUGCAGUGACAAUGUCAGAUCCUUAACUUGCUGAGCCACCAGGGAACUCAAAAUUCCUAUUCUUAAAAGGACAUCAGUCAUAUUGGGUUAGGGUUCACCCUCAUGGCUUCAUUUUAACUUGAUGACCUCUGUAAUGAUCCUAUCUCUAAAUAAAGUCAUAUUCUGAGGUUCUGGGGGUUAGUGAUUCAACAUAUAAAUUUAGGGAGAGGGCACAAUGCAACCAUAGCAAGUGCAACAAUUAUCUGUUGAGUGGAUGGAUUUUAAUGACAGCAACCAUUUACUGAAUGUUGACAACAUGCCAAGUGCUCCAUGAAGUGCUUCAUUUUAUUCUUUUAAUUUGCACAGUAAUCCAAUGAAAAGGGUACUACAUGUAUUCUUUUAGAAGUGAAAAAACAUCACAGCAAGAGAUGAGUGAAGAUAUGGAAGUAGAGCGGAUGUAAGGAAAGAAAACAAAGGCUGGUGUGUCUCCAGUAACAUGAGGAAAACAUCCUCUUUAUUACCUUUGCUUGGUCACACUGGACCAUGCGUUGACAAGGAGACUGAAAUAGAGAGUUUGUCACGGGGUCAGCCCACCUGUUUCUGCAGCAUCCAUAUUUUAGGCUUCCACAUUACACGGUUCCUGUCACUGCCACUGAAGUAUGAAGCAGGGAGUUCCUGUUGUGGUUCAAAGGGUCAAGAACCUGACCUAGUAUCCACGAGGAUGCGGGUUUGAUUCCUGGCCUUGCUCAGUGGGUUAAGUAUCCAGUGUUAUUGCAAGCUUCAGUGUAGCUUGCAGAUAUGACUCAGAUCUGGCAUUGCUAUGGCUGUAGCAUAGGCUGGCAGCUGCACCUCUGACUUGACCCCUAGCAUGGAAAUUUUCAUAUGCCACAGCUAUAAAAAGAAACCAACCAACCAAAAGAAGUAUGAAGCAGAUACAGAUAACACAUAAGCACAUAGCCGUGGUCAUGUUCCAAUAAAACUUUAUUUACCAAAGCCAGUGGCUUAGCCAGAUUUGGCCUGUGGGCCAUCAUGUGCUAAAACCUUGGUUGAGGAAAUUUUCACUUGAUUUUCUUUCCUUUUGUUUUCCUAAAAGUCAAUUGGUUUUUUGAAUUUGGAAAGCUGUCUUGUAGAGAAGGUUGUACAAAACCCGAAGGGGACCCUCAGAGAGUCUACAAGUGUCCUC